RNAcentral lists this ribosomal RNA (300 nucleotides) under uncultured Pseudomonas sp. RNAcentral's name for it is "bacterial SSU rRNA". It matches the Rfam family "Bacterial small subunit ribosomal RNA", at positions 1082 to 1382 of the family's 1533-position model. Lineage: Bacteria; Pseudomonadati; Pseudomonadota; Gammaproteobacteria; Pseudomonadales; Pseudomonadaceae. The record is from RNAcentral.
ACGUCCGUAACGAGCGCAACCCUUGUCUUAGUUACCAGCACGUUAUGGUGGGCACUCUAAGGAGACUGCCGGUGACAAACCGGAGGAAGGUGGGGAUGACGUCAAGUCAUCAUGGCCCUUACGGCCUGGGCUACACACGUGCUACAAUGGUCGGUACAAAGGGUUGCCAAGCCGCGAGGUGGAGCUAAUCCCAUAAAACCGAUCGUAGUCCGGAUCGCAGUCUGCAACUCGACUGCGUGAAGUCGGAAUCGCUAGUAAUCGUGAAAUCAGAAUGUCACGGUGAAUACGUUCCCGGGCCUU